RNAcentral lists this ribosomal RNA (424 nucleotides) under uncultured bacterium. RNAcentral describes it as "bacterial SSU rRNA". It matches the Rfam family "Bacterial small subunit ribosomal RNA", at positions 30 to 457 of the family's 1533-position model. The record is from RNAcentral.
AUUGAACGCUGGCGGCAGGCCUAACACAUGCAAGUCGAGACGGAUGAAAGGGCUUGCUCCUGGAUUCAGCGGCGGACGGGUGAGUAAUACGCAGGAAUCUACCUAGUAGUGGGGGAUAACGUUUCGAAAGGGGCGCUAAUACCGGCAUACGUUCUGAGGAAGAAAGCAGGGGAUCGCAAGACCUUGCGCUAUUAGAUGAGCUUGCGUCCGAUUAGCUAGUUGGUGGGGUAAAGGCCUACCAAGGCGACGAUCGGUAACUGGUCUGAGAGGAUGAUCAGUCACACUGGAACUGAGACACGGUCCAGACUCCUACGGGAGGCAGCAGUGGGGAAUAUUGGACAAUGGGGGCAACCCUGAUCCAGCCAUGCCGCGUGUGUGAAGAAGGCCUCGGUUGUAAGNACUUAAGUCGGGAGGAAGGCCGUGA